RNAcentral lists this ribosomal RNA (398 nucleotides) under uncultured bacterium. RNAcentral's name for it is "partial 16S ribosomal RNA". It matches the Rfam family "Bacterial small subunit ribosomal RNA", at positions 523 to 918 of the family's 1533-position model. The record is from RNAcentral.
AUACGUAGGGUGCGAGCGUUGUCCGGAAUUACUGGGCGUAAAGAGCUCGUAGGUGGUUUGUCGCGUCGUCUGUGAAAUUCCGGGGCUUAACUCCGGGCGUGCAGGCGAUACGGGCAUAACUUGAGUACUGUAGGUGAGACUGGAAUUACUGGUGUAGCGGUGAAAUGCGCAGAUAUCAGGAGGAACAACGGUGGCGAAGGGGGGUCUCUGGGCAGUAACUGACGCUGAGGAGCGAAAGCAUGGGUAGCGAACAGGAUUAGAUACCCUGGUAGUCCAUGCCGUAAACGGUGGGCGCUAGGUGUGGGGGUCUUCCACGACUUCUGUGCCGUAGCUAACGCAUUAAGCGCCCCGCCUGGGGAGUACGGCCGCAAGGCUAAAACUCAAAUGAAUUGACGGGG